RNAcentral lists this ribosomal RNA (700 nucleotides) under uncultured Acidobacteriota bacterium. RNAcentral's name for it is "bacterial SSU rRNA". It matches the Rfam family "Bacterial small subunit ribosomal RNA", at positions 66 to 746 of the family's 1533-position model. The record is from RNAcentral. Lineage: Bacteria; Pseudomonadati; Acidobacteriota.
GCGAAAGUCCCCUUCGGGGGACAAGUAGAGUGGCGCACGGGUGAGUAACACGUAGGUAAUCUACCUUUGGAUGGGGAAUAACAACCGGAAACGGUUGCUAAUACCGCAUAAUGCAGCGGCACCUAAUGGUGACAGUUGUUAAAGCGGGGGAUCGAAAGACCUCGCGUCUGAAGAGGAGCCUGCGGCGGAUUAGCUAGUUGGUAGGGUAACGGCCUACCAAGGCGACGAUCCGUAGCUGGUCUGAGAGGACGGCCAGCCACAAUGGCACUGACAUACGGGUCAGACUCCUACGGGAGGCAGCAGUCGGGAAUUUUGGGCAAUGGGCGAAAGCCUGACCCAGCAACGCCGCGUGAAGGAUGAAAUCCCUCGGGAUGUAAACUUCGCAAGAACGGGAAGAAUAAGUAGGGGACAAUACCCCCUAUGAUGACGGUACCGUUUGUAAGCUCCGGCUAACUCCGUGCCAGCAGCCGCGGUAAUACGGGGGGAGCAAGCGUUGUUCGGAUUUACUGGGCGUAAAGGGCGCGUAGGCGGCCAGUGCAAGUCAGUUGUGAAAUCUCCGAGCUUAACUCGGAAAGGUCAACUGAUACUGCUCGGCUAGAGUGCGGAAGGGGCAACUGGAAUUCUUGGUGUAGCGGUGAAAUGCGUAGAUAUCAAGAGGAACACCUGCGGCGAAGGCGGGUUGCUGGGCCGACACUGACGC